RNAcentral lists this ribosomal RNA (258 nucleotides) under uncultured bacterium. Its description in RNAcentral is "partial 16S ribosomal RNA". It matches the Rfam family "Bacterial small subunit ribosomal RNA", at positions 1245 to 1500 of the family's 1533-position model. The record is from RNAcentral.
AGAAGCGAACCUGCGAAGGCAAGCGGAUCUCUUAAAGCCGUUCUCAGUUCGGACUGUAGGCUGCAACUCGCCUACACGAAGCUGGAAUCGCUAGUAAUCGCGGAUCAGCACGCCGCGGUGAAUACGUUCCCGGGCCUUGUACACACCGCCCGUCAUACCAUGAGAGUCUGUAACACCCAAAGCCGGUGGGAUAACCUUUAUAGGAGUCAGCCGUCUAAGGUAGGACAGAUGAUUAGGGUGAAGUCGUAACAAGGUAGC